AGUGAACGCUGGCGGUAGGCCUAACACAUGCAAGUCGAACGGCAGCGCAGUAAGAGCUUGCUCUUACGGGUGGCGAGUGGCGGACGGGUGAGGAAUACAUCGGAAUCUACUUUUUCGUGGGGGAUAACGUAGGGAAACUUACGCUAAUACCGCAUACGACCUACGGGUGAAAGCAGGGGAUCUUCGGACCUUGCGCGAUUGAAUGAGCCGAUGUCGGAUUAGCUAGUUGGCGGGGUAAAGGCCCUCCAAGGCGACGAUCCGUAGCUGGUCUGAGAGGAUGAUCAGCCACACUGGAACUGAGACACGGUCCAGACUCCUACGGGAGGCAGCAGUGGGGAAUAUUGGACAAUGGGCGCAAGCCUGAUCCAGCCAUACCGCGUGGGUGAAGAAGGCCUUCGGGUUGUAAAGCCCUUUUGUUGGGAAAGAAAAGCAGCAGGUUAAUACCCCGCUGUUCUGACGGUACCCAAAGAAUAAGCACCGGCUAACUUCGUG
This 492-nucleotide ribosomal RNA is filed under the name uncultured bacterium. RNAcentral describes it as "partial 16S ribosomal RNA". It matches the Rfam family "Bacterial small subunit ribosomal RNA", at positions 29 to 507 of the family's 1533-position model. The record is from RNAcentral.